GACGAACGCUGGCGGCGUGCCUAAUACAUGCAAGUUGAGCGAUGAAGCUUGGUGCUUGCACCAAUUUGAAGAGCAGCGAACGGGUGAGUAACGCGUGGGGAAUCUGCCUUUGAGCGGGGGGCAACAUUUGGAAACGAAUGCUAAUACCGCAUAACAACUUUAAACAUAAGUUUUAAGUUUGAAAGAUGCAAUUGCAUCACUCAAAGAUGAUCCCGCGUUGUAUUAGCUAGUUGGUGAGGUAAAGGCUCACCAAGGCGAUGAUACAUAGCCGACCUGAGAGGGUGAUCGGCCACAUUGGGACUGAGACACGGCCCAAACGCCUACGGGAGGCAGCAGGAGGGAAACUUCGGCAAAGGACGAAAGUCUGACCGAGCAACGCCGCGGGAGGGAAGAAGGUUUUCGGAUCGUAAAACUCUGUUGGUAGAGAAGAACGUUGGUGAGAGUGGAAAGCUCAUCAAGUGACGGUAACUACCCAGAAAGGGACGGCUAACUACGUG
Molecule: ribosomal RNA, 497 nt
Filed under: uncultured bacterium
Lineage: Bacteria
Description: partial 16S ribosomal RNA
Rfam family: Bacterial small subunit ribosomal RNA
Source: RNAcentral